CUAUGGGCAACGGCCGUGUUUUCUUUUUGAUGUCCUUUGCAGUGGAUCACAGCUACCUGCUGAGAAACUCCUAGAGGGCAGAGGCAUGCCUGCCAUCUUCAUCAUUGCAUUACCAUCACCCAACACUAUCAGGGGACCUGCCCUGAUAAUCAGUCUACAGUUGUAUCCAGCAGCUCCAGAGAGACAGCGACCAGCAAGAAGGGGCCAUGAUGAUGGUGGUGGUUUUUUCAAAACGAAAAGGGGGAUAUGUAGGGAAAAGAAAGAGAGAUCAGACUCUUACAGACUCUUACUGUGUCUACAUAGAAAGGGAAGACAUAAGAGACUCCAUUUGGAAAAAGACCUGUACUUUAAACAAUUGCUUUGCUGAGAUGUUGUUAAUCUGUAGCUUUGCCCCAGCCACUUUGCCCCAACCACUUUGACCCAGUCUGGAGCUCACAAAAACAUGUGUUGUAUGAAAUCAAGGUUUAAGGCAUGUAGGGCUGUGCAGGAUGUGCCUUGUUAACCAAAUGUUUGCAAGCAGUAUACUUGGUAAAAGUCAUCACCAUUCUCUUGUCUCAAUAAACCAGGGGCACAAUGCACUGUGGAAAGCCGCAGGGACCUCUGCCCUUGAAAGCUGGGUAUUAUUCAAAGUUUCCCCCCAUGUGAUAGUCUGAAAUAUGGCCUCGUGGGAUGAGAAAGGCCUGACGGUCCCCUAGCCCGACACCCAUAAAAGGUCUGUGCUGAGGUGGAUUAGUCAAAGAGGAAAGACUCUUGCAUUUGAGAUAGAGGAAGGCCACUGUCUCCUGCCUGCCCCUGGGAACUGAAUGUCUCGGUAUAAAACACGAUUGUACAUUUGUUCAAUUCUGAGAUGGGAGAAAAACCGCCCUAUGGUGGGAGGUGAGACAUGUUUACAGCAAUACUGCCUUGAUAUUCUUUACUCCACUGAGAUGUUUGGGUGGAGAGAAACAUAAAUCUGGCUUACAUGCACGUUCAGUCAUAGUACCUUCCCUUGAACUUCAUUAUGACAUAGAUUCUAUUGCUCACAUGUUUGUUGCUGACCUUCUUAUUAUCACCCUGCCCUCCUACUACAUUCCUUUUUGCUGAAAUAAUAAAGAUAGUAUUCAAUAAAAACUGAGGGAACUCAGAGACCGGUGCCAGUGCAGGUCCUUGGUAUGCUAAGCGCCGGUACCCUGGG
RNAcentral lists this long non-coding RNA (1174 nucleotides) under Homo sapiens (human). RNAcentral's name for it is "non-protein coding lnc-HMX1-5:4". The record is from RNAcentral. Lineage: Eukaryota; Metazoa; Chordata; Mammalia; Primates; Hominidae.